RNAcentral lists this ribosomal RNA (589 nucleotides) under Alpestrisphaeria monodictyoides. Its description in RNAcentral is "partial large subunit ribosomal RNA". It matches the Rfam family "Eukaryotic large subunit ribosomal RNA", at positions 50 to 654 of the family's 3401-position model. The record is from RNAcentral. Lineage: Eukaryota; Fungi; Ascomycota; Dothideomycetes; Pleosporales; Lophiostomataceae.
GCGGAGGAAUAGAAACCAACAGGGAUUGCCCUAGUAACGGCGAGUGAAGCGGCAACAGCUCAAAUUUGAAAUCUGGCCCCUUUGGGGUCCGAGUUGUAAUUUGCAGAGGGUGCUUUGGCGUUGGCUGUGGUCUAAGUUCCUUGGAACAGGACGUCACAGAGGGUGAGAAUCCCGUACGUGGCCGCCAGCCUCCGCCGUGUAAAGCCCCUUCGACGAGUCGAGUUGUUUGGGAAUGCAGCUCUAAAUGGGAGGUAAAUUUCUUCUAAAGCUAAAUAUCUGCCAGAGACCGAUAGCGCACAAGUAGAGUGAUCGAAAGAUGAAAAGCACUUUGGAAAGAGAGUCAAAAAGCACGUGAAAUUGUUGAAAGGGAAGCGCUUGCAGCUAGACGUGCCUUGGGUUGAUCAGCCGGGCUUCUGCCCGGUGCACUCUUCCUCUGGCAGGCCAGCAUCAGUUUGGGCGGCUGGAUAAAGGUCUGUUAAACGUGACUCCCCUCGGGGAGAGCUUAUAGGGCAGACGACAUGCAGCCAGCCUGGACUGAGGUCCGCGCAUCUGCUAGGAUGCUGGCGUAAUAGCUGUAAGCGGCCCGUCU